Molecule: transfer RNA, 73 nt
Filed under: Stegodyphus mimosarum
Lineage: Eukaryota; Metazoa; Arthropoda; Arachnida; Araneae; Eresidae
Rfam family: tRNA
About the family: Transfer RNA (tRNA) molecules are approximately 80 nucleotides in length.
Source: Rfam by way of RNAcentral
GCCUUUGUGGUGUAGUGGUUAGCACGCUCGGCGCGUAUUCGAAAGGUCCAUGGUUCGAGUUCCAGCGAAGGCA